RNAcentral lists this long non-coding RNA (204 nucleotides) under Mytilus galloprovincialis (Mediterranean mussel). The record is from RNAcentral. Lineage: Eukaryota; Metazoa; Mollusca; Bivalvia; Mytilida; Mytilidae.
CUUUUGUGUCAUGGAUUGAUACCCAUAUCCUUUUGUUUUUCUAUUAUAGAAAACUAUAGACUGAGCAACACAAACUCGCGAACCGAAAAGAUAAUCUAUGAUCUUUCUUGCAUCUGAGGCACCAAACGGGUUACUCGUGGUAAAAAGUAAAAUCACAAAAAUACUGAAUUCCGAGGAAAAUUCAAAUGGCAAAACCAAAAGCCC